This 293-nucleotide ribosomal RNA is filed under the name uncultured bacterium. RNAcentral's name for it is "partial 16S ribosomal RNA". It matches the Rfam family "Bacterial small subunit ribosomal RNA", at positions 505 to 796 of the family's 1533-position model. The record is from RNAcentral.
GUGUCAGCAGCCGCGGUAAAACGUAGGAGGCGAGCGUUAUCCGGAUUUACUGGGUGUAAAGCGCGAGCAGGCGGCUCUGUAAGUUGUGCGUGAAAGCGCCCAGGCUCAACCGGGCGAGGACGUGCAAAACUGCAGAGCUUGAGAUAGGUAGAGGCAGAUGGAAUUCCGGGUGUAGUGGUGAAAUGCGUAGAGAUCCGGAGGAACACCAGUGGCGAAGGCGGUCUGCUGGGCCUAUUCUGACGCUCAGACGCGAAAGCAUGGGGAGCGAACGGGAUUAGAUACCCUGGUAGUCC